UAUGUUUUAUUACUUAUAUGUUAAUCAUAUUGUGUAUGAGGGAAUGACCAAAAGCAAUGAAAAAAAUGAAUUUUGAAGAAAUGUCUCAGAAGAAGAGCAGAUGGAACCCCAGAGGAUAGCGGGGGAUGGUAUGGAGUUUCCAGCCAGGCUCAAAAGGCAGUUGGGAGAAAAACCAAGAGUUCUUUUCAUCUUGGGCUCCUUGGAGCUGAGAGGGAGAACUACCUUCUGCUGUGAAGAUACAAAUCUCUCAACCUUUUUACCUGAGCCGCAGAAGAUCUUAUCUCUCAACUGGUGGCAAAUCUUUAGGAUAAGGAUUCUCUUUUCCAUUAGGGGAAUCCAAAGCUUACUUCUAAAGAAGAUUCCCUGGUUCAAAUCCUCAAGAUCUGUAUAGGGAAAAUACCUAGGGAUUUCCUUUUCCCCCUGUCCUGUUUACCUUUCAACCCUUUAUAUCUAAAUAAAAUAGACAUCUUAAAUUUAAUAGAAACUUGAAUCAGAUUCAAAUGUGUUAGAAGGGGAACUUCAAAAUAUCACUUCAAGAAGGAGGCUGAAGGGAAAAUUUCACUUACCCUUUUAGACUAGUCAAACUGACUCCAUUGGUCAACAGCUCAACUUGGGGAAGGAGGAGGAAGGAAGGGUCACAUUGUGUUCAAUCCCCAGGUAGCUGAACUUUGGUUACUCCUUCAAAGUCCCCCACUAAUAUAAUAUAAGGGUCAGAUUAGUUGGCUACUGAGGUCUCUUAUGCCUCUGAAGUUCUGUAAUUUUUUCUUGCUUGCAAUUGGAUUGGCUUUGUGUCUGACCUUUCAAGAAAUCUUGGGAGAAAGGUGCUAUUAUUAUCCCCAACUUACACAUGAAGAAACAGAGGCAAGCAGAGUUUAAGUGAUAUUACUCAGGAGUGUACAGCUAGUAAGUUUCUUAAACUAGAUUUGAACUCAUGUUUUCCUGAAUCUGGCCCUGGCACUCUACUAUGCUAACUACCUGUCUUACAAUGAUGAAGAGGUGGAUUUGCUCUCAUUUGAGUAAAAUGUAUGAAUUUAUUUCAACAAUUCAAUUUAAGAAACAUUCAUUAAAUACCAAUUACGUAUAGACCAAUAACUAAAAUAUUGUUUGUCCUACCACAGACCACACCCUAAGGCCAUGAUGGUGAACCUUUUAAAGACCAUGUGUUCUGCCCUCCACCCGGUGCCAAAUGCUACCCUGCCUUUACCCCACACAGGGAAGGGAGAAAGCACUCCCAUUGGGCUGCUGGGCAGAGGGGUGGGUGAAGUAAGGAAUGAAUGUCCUCAGUGAGUGCAGAGAGGGGGAGGCCAGUGGCCCUAGCACUCCACUCCCAUCCAACUCUGCUGCCUGUGAGCCACCCACCUUACCUCACACAGGAGAGGGAGGAAGUUCUCCCAUUAGGCAGCUGAGCAGAGGGGUGGAUAAUGUAAAAAAUGUCAUCAGGCAUGAUGGAGAGGGGGAAGGGAGCAGCUCUGCCUGAGUCCCUCUGCCUUUCUAGUAACAAACUCUGGAGGGGGUAGGGUGGCAUGUAUGUCCACAGAGUGCAUGUUGCAUGUCUCCUUUGGCACAUAUCAUAGUUUUGUCAUUACUGCCUUAGGGCAAGGAGCAUGAAACAAGAUUUCAGGUGACGUUGUGUUAUCUCUUUUCUGAAGGUCUCAAGAAGGGAUUGAACUAUGUGAUCUUCAAUGUAUCUUCUCAAACUGAAGCAUAAAGAUGUUUUUGGAUUCUAAAUGAGGAUUCAUCUCAGGCAUUCAGAGUGGGGCACUACCCUAUAGAAGGGAGAGAUGGACUCAGGGGCACCAGUGUGAACCAUUGCUGGGAAGGUUUUCAUGAUGGAAAGAGUGGGAGGACAGGGUAGUAGAAGACUGCUUUUUCUAGUAUAAAGCAAGGCAAGUGGGAAAGGGAGAAGAGCUUAGCACACCAUUGAAUAUCUCCUUAUUUUAAUUAAUUAUUUAUGCUAGCUAGAAGCUAAGCUCCAAUUUUUCUAUACUGAUGCUCUUCAGGUGCUACCUACAGUAUCUGAAUCCAACACUUUGGGGCAAAACUCUAGUUAUCCUGAAUGACUUACAUCUCUGACCAUUUGCAAAGUAUUAUGGAAGGUGUAAUGAUAAAAAACAGCAGAGACCCAGGCAGCUGGGUAAAGAGGGCAUCUAUUGAUCAGCCACAGUCUAGCCCCUGUAUUUCUUCCCAUUAGACCUCAGGCUAGCUUCCUACUUCAGUCUAACAGUAAUCUAAACAUCACCUAAUGUCUUUCUUUGGAAUCUGACUCAAGAAAGGCCAUCUUUAACCAAAGCACACCUGUUUUCUAUAUUAUAUUAGAUAAGAAAAAUAUUGUGGGUCAAGUAUUAACUGUGUGAGGGGGAACAUAAAGGGUUUACUAAUCAGCUCCAUUAUUUUAUUUCUUUAUUUCUACCUGAAGUUAAAUUGUUUACAAGAUAAGAACUUCAAAAAUGACAGAAAAGGAUAAUCUGAUAUUGAUACUGAAUACAUUGCGAAAAAAGAAAAUACUCUUCUAGAUGACAAAAUUGGUAUAACCAGAAAUCCAAAAUCCUAGAAGAAAAUGCAGAAAAAUCUUGUCAAUUUUUAGUGAUGAGGAAACUGAGGAUCAAGGAGUUUACAUGAAUUGGCAAUGACUACAUGAAUAAAAAUGUCAGAGAAGAAAUACAAUUCUAACUUUCUAACUGUUGGGCCAAUGUUCUUUUCUAAGGAAGGGGAGAGGAAAGGAAGGAAAGAACAUGAGAGGGAGGAUCUCUUUUCUCUUAUCCUAUGAAAGAAGAUAAAGGUACUAAUGCCUUAUGAUAAUUCUGCCUUCUGACUUCAGUGACUCCUUUCUCCCAUUUAAGUGUUAAUGAAAGCUUCCUUGAGGAUCAAAAGUGCUUCUGUCACAUGCUGAGAGGUCUGUCCCAAGUCUUCCUCAGCAGCUCUAUCAGAAUAACAUAAUAUUUCUCUUUAUAAACAUGUAAAUAAUCACCCUACUGAAUGAAUUUGUCCUAUAUUCUUGCAAACUCAAAGUUUCUUCAAAAGAAUAAUAGAAAAGCAAAUAUGCAAGAGUAGAUUUUAAUAUUUGGAAUUGUGGUUCAUGUUUUGCCCCAAAACUAAUUUUCUAGAUUAAUGAAUCAUAUCUGAUAAUGUAAAUUAGAAAUCACUUUUACAGCAUGGAAAACAACAGAACUAAAUUGCAAUGGCUUAUUGUAAAUGGCACAGCCCUGACUACAUGUCACACAUAUUUAACCAUAGCAAUGUUUCUGAGCAUGGUUGAAAUUGUUAUUUCUAAGAUAGAGAUGCUAUGGGCCAAGAUGUACAGCACAUACUCCCACAAAAAGAAUGAGGUUCUUUUGUUCCUUUCCAUGGAACUACUCCAUCCAGAAAAAGAUUCCAUCUGUAGUACAGAAUAUAAUAGUAAUACCAUGGGCAAGAAUAAUAUUACUAUGCAUUGAAAUAUCACCAUUAUUUCUAAUAAUAAUUACAGGCAUAAAUUAAUAAAGUUUUUUUAUUAAAUACUUAAUGUGCAAAGCAUUGUGCUAAGCUCUGUGGAAACAAAGAUAAAAAUAAAGUAGUGCCUGCUUUCAAAGAGCUCCCAUUCCAUUGGGGAAGACAAUACUUUCAGCUGCCAGUUAGGUGAAAAGGUCCCAUUGUCCUUAGUGUGCAGGAUCAAAAUAGAUUUUUGUUUCUUUAAAAAAAAAACAAUACAACUUACACUGUUAAAAUCUCAUCAAUUUCCAGUGUUGCAUCAUUUGAUAAUACCAAGGACUUUGGAGUCGAAUCUUUCUUUUCAGGGUCUUCAAUAGCUGUGACUGUAGUAUUUCAGGAAGAGUUUGCAUGCUGCGUUUCCAUGGGAUAUGCUUACCAGAGUGAUGGUGGAAAGUAUUGCGAUGCAAGCAUUGCAAUUCCUAAGGUUCAUGGGUUCAUAGUCCUCCACUGUCUUCAUCAGAGUCUGAAAGAUAUGGCUGUCAAGAUCAUGAAGAUAGUGAGAGUGGUGUGACUUUCCUGGCACUUUCCAAGGUGAUAAAGGCAAUAAGAACAUCAGAGAGGAUUUGAUCUCAAAUCAUCUCAAAUGAUCAAAACUCCAAAUCUUGUGUAUUCCUAGCAGACAUUUCCAUAGC
Monodelphis domestica (gray short-tailed opossum) is the source of this 4100-nucleotide non-coding RNA. Lineage: Eukaryota; Metazoa; Chordata; Mammalia; Didelphimorphia; Didelphidae. The record is from RefSeq and is a predicted model, not a curated record.